AUUGAACGCUAGCGGGAUGCCUUACACAUGCAAGUCGAACGGCAGCACGGACUUCGGUCUGGUGGCGAGUGGCGAACGGGUGAGUAAUGUAUCGGAACGUGCCCAGUAGCGGGGGAUAACUACGCGAAAGCGUAGCUAAUACCGCAUACGCCCUUCGGGGGAAAGCAGGGGAUCGCAAGACCUUGCACUAUUGGAGCGGCCGAUAUCGGAUUAGCUAGUUGGUGAGGUAAUGGCUCACCAAGGCCGCGAUCCGUAGCUGGUUUGAGAGGACGACCAGCCAAACUGGGAGUGAGACACGGCCCAGACUACUACGGGAGGCAGCAGUGGGGAAUUUUGGAAAAUGGGGGAAACCCUGAUCCAGCCAUCCCGCGUGUGCGAUGAAGGCCUUCGGGUUGUAAAGCACUUUUGGCAGGAAAGAAACGGCGCGUGUUAAUACCAUGCGCAACUGACGGUACCUGCAGAAUAAGCACCGGCUAACUACGUGUCAGCCGCCGCAGUAA
This 500-nucleotide ribosomal RNA is filed under the name uncultured bacterium. RNAcentral describes it as "partial 16S ribosomal RNA". It matches the Rfam family "Bacterial small subunit ribosomal RNA", at positions 30 to 523 of the family's 1533-position model. The record is from RNAcentral.